UCUCUGCUGUGGUCUACUUAUUCAAGUGUCUCUCCUAGAUGUGAUGAAACGACCUAUGACGAUUUUCUCUUUCUUGCAAAGAGUUCCCCAGGAGACGCCAAUGACUUCCUUAUUCUGGCAUUUCUGGGAAUGCAAGCCCUGCUACCCAGCUUCCUCUCCUCUGGCUUGGCUGUCAGCUGUGAGUCUUGGAUUAUUCACGGAGGAGUCGGAAAUCCGCUGUGACCCCAAACAGUGGAGGACAUACCUCAAUAAGUCAUGGCACAGCUCUCUCCAAAGGAAUUCUCAAAAAUUCCCUUCCAAUUGUUCAACUACCAGCCUUUGUAAGUGGACUUGGCAGUCUUGCGAUUUUUGGGGAGGAGCCAUUUCCUUUUUAAAUUACAGAAGUGUCUGCCACCUCCUUUGGAAGGUACCUGAGGGUAAACUUCUGUUUCUUAUACCCUGUUACACUGAUUUCGUGUGACCUUCUGUAGGAAGGAUGGUUGGUUGAAUCCACAAACACCCAUGGAGGUUUGUGUUCUGGGCCCCAGGGAAGCUGGAAGUAUCAGAGCUGGGACCUCCUCGGGAGUCCAGGAGCUCUUAGUCUAGUAGGGAAAGGGAGCUCUGGACACAUUGCCUUCCUCUCAGUUAACCAGCUUAGACCCGCCAAUCUGACAGGAAACGAUUUGAACCCAUGGCAGAGCCCAAGACCUUCACAUUUCUUUCUUUUUUGAAGGGGGAAAUUGAGCACACCUCAGAAAUUUUCUCAAUAACUGAAUGAGAGAAGUAGGACCACCAGGUUUUGAAGUGAUUUUUCUCUCUUGGAGGUCAAGAAAUUAAAAGAAAGCCCCAGCAUCUUUACAGAGCAAGCACAGAGGAGUCCAAAGGUUUCAUCAGAAAGGAAAUUGGAGGCUCUGUCAGCACACCCCCCUGCCAGACUCACGGGAGCUGAGGUCUGCAGAAGGAAUAGGCAAGUUUCCUUCAUCAGUGCCGGAGGUUAAAAGGGGGGUAGGUGGAGGCUUGCAGGAGUUUGACAGGCGCACGGUCUGUUCAGGAGAACCUGAGGGUUUGUAUCCUCUACAGCAUGGUGACCCUUAGCAGCCAUCACUAGGCUGCUCCUGGUUCUCCGUUUCUGUGUGGAGCUGACUGAGCUUCUGCUUUAGGGUUUUGUGUUGCGCCUCAGAAUUGCAGGGGGUAGGUGGUGUAGGUCACUUUGGUGCCUCAAAGUGCUGACUUCAGUUCAGCCUCUACCACUUUCAAGGUCUGUAUUUCUGGAUAUGUCCUGUUAGCCUUUCAAAACCUCAGUUUCCUUGUCUGUAAAAUGGGGGCAACUAUGCCUACCUUUCAGGAUUGUAGUGAAGAUGAAAUGAGCUAUCAUGUGGGUAAAGCCCCUGGGACAUGGUAGAGGCUUGGUAAUUGCCCUUUUUUACUCCCUUGCCUUGCUGCCGGAAUAUUGUGGGGUUUGGAAAGGUGAGAAUGAUUUUCUUCCCCUCUAGAGCAGCUACAGCCUGUGUUCUGGGGGCAGGGAGACUCAGCUAUGAAAAAGCCAGCCUCAUUUUGGUAGUGUGGAAUGGUCCUAGGAUGCCUGAAUUCUAUGGCAGGAGAGACCUGCAGUGCUCAUGCUGCAGUGCCCCAGGUUGAGCAAGUUGGGUAAAGGAGACCAAGAAAGCUGAAAUGACUUGCCCAGGACCACAAAGCCAGCGAGUGGCAGAGCUGGGGUCAACCCUUUGUUCUGUGUCCCUGCAUUGACCCAGCUGCCCAGCUACCACGUUUUAGGAUAACAGAGUAUGUCCUUGUGAAGUAAGUCCUGGCUCCAGGGUGCACAGCUGGGACCUCACCCUUGACCCCAUGAUGUCUUCUGUUACAUAGGGAGCGGUGGUCAAUUUCCAAGCCAGGCAGAUCAGCAUGUUUCUCACUCCAGGAAGGUUUCCUGACCUCCUAAUAUCAAGGUAGGUGGCCCUGCUGGUCUCUUCUGGGAUUCCUGCGCCCAAUUUGUAUGUUUAUUUUUGCUCUCCCUGCCCUGGACUGUGAAGACGUGAUCUAGCGUUUCUUCUUCCUCGUUGUGCGUCCAGGGCCUUCUGUAUGCCCUAGCACUGAGUAGACCUCAGUAACUGUGUGUGUGGGUGAAUGACUGGGCCAGUUGAAUUCAUUCUGCUGUUGCUUCCCCUCAGGUAUUUUAGGCCCCAGUUUGAGUAUGUGUCCAUGGGGCACUGCCCUCCACCCAGGAAUGACCUCCUAGCCUCCUGUGGAAGCAGCAGGGCACGGGGGACAGGACCCUAAUGGCUUUUGGCCUAAGCUAGUAAAGACUCAUGGCUUCUCUCAGCUGCUUUCUUUCUACCCUUGAAACUUGAAGAAUAACUUGAGUAGAUGUCAAAUGUACUUACCAAGACAGACAUUCAAUAUCUGGACUUGCAAGCCUACUGGAAGCUCGCCAAGUGGCCCCCAUUGGGCUGCCUCACAUAGACCAUCCACCUGAUCACUUAGCACGCUGGCAGUGAAUGCCCACUGCGUGUUGGCCUGGUGGCUCUGCCUCUGUGUAGGAAGGGGGAUGAGCCAGCUGCUCAGAGCUCAGUCAGCAUCAGCUUUCUCAGACAUGGGGGAGGGUCUCAGGGGAAUGGUGACUCACUUAGAACAGGCUUCCUUGCACAGAAUGCCCUGUCCCUGUGUUAUACAGAGCAGGAAGCUUUAACUGGAUCAUUGCAUCUUGCCCCAGGAGGCAGCUAGCGGAGGUGGGAGAUGAAAAAACUGAGACUCAGAGAAGCUGAUGUGGCUUGCAUAAAAAUCUACACUAGUAACGACAGAAGUAGGACAAGAAGGCAGAUUCCUAGUCACCAAGUCCAGUAAGAUUUGGGGCAAUCACUGAGAAUUUUUGACUUCAGCAUAAAGUAAAGAAGAUAAGAAAGUAUCCAAGAGGCAUAAAAUUUUAAUCUGAAAGCAUUGCAAUAUGAUGACUCCUUGAGCAACAUAAGAAAUUUGGAGUUCCUUUAAAGCUGCAAACACGAGAAGUUUACUCCUUCCAACUUGUCGUUCUUGGCAAAGUAGGCAUAAAUGGCACCUCAUUCCUUCCGUUUCCAGUCGGAGGUGCUUCUGUUUUGAGCGUGUGUGUUCCUCUUUUCUGGAAGUUUUUCUUGACAGAAGCAGAGAGGUUUUUGACAAACAACUUUAAUAUUCUUUGUGUCUGUGUGGCUGGCUCUAAUAAUCCUGCAAGCUUACAAGGUCACUGUUAAGAUUAAAUCUGAGUCAUCGGAGGCAGAUGUUGACACAUCAUUAUUUAAAUCCUGAGCUGCUGAAGGACUCUCAUCCUCAUGAGCUGUGAUUCACUGUCCAAACGAACACCCCAAAUUCCACAUAGGUUGCUGAGCAGAGACUCUGGACUCCAUUAGGGAAAAAAGUUUGCCUUUGUGUGUGAGAAAGCCGUACUUUCUGUUGCAGAAGCAUGGUCUACAGGGAGAGUGAAUGUUUCAGCAGACCUGGGCUCCUGUCUCAUCUCUUGCUCUGGGCUUUAUUACCUGCUCUUCAUAAACUUUCCCAUAAUUUACACUUGCACGUUUAUUUAUAUGUUAUUGCUUUUUUAGUGAAGUAUACUUUUUAAAGUAAAAUGUGUUAUGUGUCCAGCUUGAUGAAAUUUUGCAAGCGUGUACUCUAAGUCAGCACCAUGCAUAUGACAACAUGGAACAUUUUCACCACCCCAGAAGGUUCCCUGUGCCCCUUCCCAAUCAGUAACCCUUCAAGGUAACUGCUGUUCUGACUUUUGAUGCCAUGGAUCAAUUUCCUCAGUUCUAGGAUUUCACGUAGAAGUCAAAUGGCACAUGCUAUUUUGUAUUUGGCUCUUUUGCUCAGAAAAAUACCUGUGAGAUUUAUCUGUGGUGUUGUGGGUAUCAGUGAUUUGUUACUUUUUAUUGCUGAAUACUAUCCCAUUGUAUGACUAUACUAAAAUUUGUUUAUUCAUUCUUUUGUCCAUGGAUACCUGGUUUGUUUUCAAACUUUGGCUAUUAUGAAUAAAGCUGCUAUACCUAUUCUUGUAUACA
This is a long non-coding RNA of Sapajus apella (tufted capuchin), 4004 nucleotides long. RefSeq lists it as uncharacterized. The record is from RefSeq and is a predicted model, not a curated record. The transcript is spliced from 2 exons. NCBI's taxonomy places the organism in Eukaryota, Metazoa, Chordata, Mammalia, Primates, Cebidae.